Molecule: long non-coding RNA, 2825 nt
Filed under: Homo sapiens (human)
Lineage: Eukaryota; Metazoa; Chordata; Mammalia; Primates; Hominidae
Description: HSALNT0310900
Source: RNAcentral
GACCUUUACGCCAAACUCCGGCGCGCCGCGAGACUCGCGUCCUCGCUGUCCCCGAGGGGCCCCACCCCUUCCCGGUUCUAACCUGCGACCUGGCCAGAGGCAAGGUGAAUGGGAAGAUGGAGAUGGAUGUUGAGGGAGUUUCUCCGCGCCCGGAGCCCAUCCCCCGCUCCCAGGGGGCUGGCGGAGCCUGCCAGGCGCCGCCACAGCCGCCCCAGCCCCAGCCGCCGCCUCAGCAGCUGGCUCAGGAUGAACUGCCCGGCGAGAGUGCAGGCGCUGAGGACAGCGACGAUCCCGAGACGAGACCCAACGGCGAGAAAGGAGAGAGCAAGGUAGGUCCACAGUGUUGGCGCUGUGAUACCUUUUGAACAAAACCAAGGAGUUGCUGUCGUGGCUGUCACUUUAACCCCUCCGCUCCCCAACCCCCUUCCCUGGUUUGUGUGGGGGUGGGGGUGGCAGAUGUGAAGAAGGCUUAAGAUUUAAGGGAAUCCAUGGGCGAUAGUGACUUUCCGAACUGGAGGGUAUGUGCAGAAGUCUGUCCUGGUUUCAGUGUUCAGCGGUGUGUGCAGAGAAAAGUCGUCUGGUACAUGCGGUGUGAUGCUCUGGGCAAGCACAGCACCUCAGUAGAGCAGUGAUGAGACCUUUGCUUGCCCUCGCAGUCUAACUGAGGCUUAUUUGGAUGAUAUGGGUCUAAGAGAAACAUUUCUUUAGGAGCUGCCAAGUGGCUUCUGAGACUCCUUGGAGGGUGGUGACAUCAACCUAAAGAUAACAAUGGGAGCAAAGUUUGGCUCAUUUGCAGAAUGGAGUGCCCUGCUUAACCCCGCUCUAAGCUGGAGGUCCUCCUCCUGACCUGGCAUCCUCCUUCUAGGAGGGCAGGGAUCAAGUGCCUGGCAGCAGAUGAGCCCUACAAAUCUUUUGCAGCCCUGCUGUGUCAUUGUAGACCGGGGGAUAGCUGCUACUUGCUGUGGAAAGAGGAGUUCUUCAGUAUUUCAGUGACAUCAUCCACUCAGGAGAGUUGGGGCGAGGCUGGCUGAGGUUCUCAAGGAGCUGAGUUUUGAGUUCAGGUGCUCGUGUAGCAGUGGAAUGAUGCCUCCUGACCUUUCAGACCUUUGAGACCUCUGGGCGGUCUUAGAAAUCACUUCAAGCCUCCAGUCCAGGAUACGACUGCCUAGGGGAAUUCCAGGGAAAGGUGGCAGAGAUGCCAUGGACUACAAGGUGAUGAAUACCACUAUGAGCUCACUACAAGAUCUCAAAGAUUUCAAGCCACUGGCUGUUACAAAGCAUAAAGCCACCCUUCUGGAGCAGCGGCGGGAGGCAGGCUGGGAGGAGGCCCCAAGUUUUGGCCAGACGAUAGACCACCUCCUUAGGUGUCCGGGGAGCUGCUGAAACAUAAUGAGGAAGAUGCUGCUGAUCCAAAGGAUAAAAACACAGAAACUAGAACCAAGAAGCACCUAAAGUGGACUCAUGCCCAGCAUCCCUGCAGACUGACUUUCUCUGAGCUAUAGUUCUGCAUUGGACUGUUUUUCCUUUGCUAUCACCUGCCCAACACACAAUCCUGGAUGCUUUUGAUUGGUUGGAUUUCUUUUUUUUUUUUCCUGCCUUUUCUUUUUCUUUCCUUGACCCUGGGAAUUAUAAACGAGAAAUUGCUUUAAAAAGUAUUGUUCUGUGCUAAAAUUAGCCUUGUUUAUGAACAAGUUUUAUCCCUAGGGAUUUCCUGAAUUGCAAUCCCAGAUUACCUUGUAAAUGGGGCUGUGUUGUUUGAUUUGUAUAGUACUGAUCUGUAGGUUAAAAUACGUUUCCUUUCUUUUGUUUCAUUCUUUUUUUAAAAGUCUGGAUCCAGGUAAUGGCCUGAGUCACAUUUGCUUAGCUACUGAAGCGAUCUCAAUAUGUUAUCGCUUAGAGUUGAAACAUAAUCAAACAUACGUUAUACCUGGGGCUCUUGCACACUAUUUGAUAUAUAUAUGUUACUCUACAAAGAAACACAAACCUUGUAUGUUGAAAUGUAAUUCCUGUUUGAUCCUGCAGCUAGAAUGCUAAAGAAAUUGCAAAUAUCAAAAGUGACUUCAAAUACCCUGAAUAUAAGCUAGUCAACAGUAAGUGGAUGGUUCCAGAAUACCAUAUUCUAAGACAAAGCAGGAAUUAGAGAUCAACUGACCUCAUCCAUAAUGUUGCUCAGGUCUGUCUGUGGAUCUGUCCAUUUUGGAGUAAAAAACAAGGCAUGCUUCUGUGAUUGUGUUUAUGAAAACUGUAGUAUUUCAGAUUUAUGUUUUGCAAUUGUGCCUGCCUUGCAAUAAAACACCUUCAGUUGACUCAGCAAUAAGGUCUCUGUCAAUUUCCUGCAAAACUGUGUCCUUAUUGGCUUUCUAAAAAAGUCCAGUGUAGACCUAUCAGUGGUGACCUGCUAGACAUUUCAGCUGGAUCUAGCAUUAUUGCUCUUUCAGAAAUAGCACUAGAGCUGUCCAUUGUCUACACAUGGGGUCAGAGUUGUAUGGUCAGAUUCUCAAUUCUUCAUAUUACCAUCAGCUACAGAAAUCUCUAGUCACAGCCUAACCCUGUUACAUAUAUGUGCUGCCAUCUGCCAUUGUGUUCUAACUCUGGAGUCCCUAUUUAUUUCUGAGAUUUUAGGACAAGACAAAAAUCCUCUGGACCUCAGUGUCCUCAUAUACAAAAUGGGAAUAAUGAUACUUCCUAUGAUUGUGGUGAUAAGUGCCUGUAAAAGGACAUCACAUGGAUGGUACUUUGCACGUUGUAAAUUCAUUGGGAUGUGGCAAUGUUCAAUAAAUGGUGGUUAUUUUAUUUGUUAAUAAAGAAUUGAAUGAAUUUCUAAA